Molecule: ribosomal RNA, 514 nt
Filed under: uncultured Giesbergeria sp.
Lineage: Bacteria; Pseudomonadati; Pseudomonadota; Betaproteobacteria; Burkholderiales; Comamonadaceae
Description: bacterial SSU rRNA
Rfam family: Bacterial small subunit ribosomal RNA
Source: RNAcentral
UAAUACGUAGGGUGCAAGCGUUAAUCGGAAUUACUGGGCGUAAAGCGUGCGCAGGCGGUGUUGUAAGACAGAGGUGAAAUCCCCGGGCUCAACCUGGGAACUGCCUUUGUGACUGCAACGCUAGAGUACGGCAGAGGGGGAGUGGAAUUCCGCGUGUAGCAGUGAAAUGCGUAGAUAUGCGGAGGAACACCGAUGGCGAAGGCAAUCCCCUGGGCCUGUACUGACGCUCAUGCACGAAAGCGUGGGAGCAAACAGGAUUAGAUACCCUGGUAGUCCACGCCCUAAACGAUGUCAACUGGUUGUUGGGUCUUCACUGACUCAGUAACGAAGCUAACGCGUGAAGUUGACCGCCUGGGGAGUACGGCCGCAAGGUUAAAACUCAAAGGAAUUGGCGGGGACCCGCACAAGCGGUGGAUGAUGUGGUUUAAUUCGAUGCAACGCGAAAAACCUUACCCACCUUUGACAUGGCAGGAAUCCUAAAGAGAUUUGGGAGUGCUCGAAAGAGAACCUGCAC